GGCAGUUCUUGGGUGACGAACCCUGGAAUUGGGCUACCUCCUCUCUAGUUUCAGGUGCAUCACCCAAGAACUGAG
This is a non-coding RNA of Myotis lucifugus (little brown bat), 75 nucleotides long. Lineage: Eukaryota; Metazoa; Chordata; Mammalia; Chiroptera; Vespertilionidae. The record is from Rfam.